Musa acuminata subsp. malaccensis (wild Malaysian banana) is the source of this 2414-nucleotide long non-coding RNA. RefSeq lists it as uncharacterized. The record is from RefSeq and is a predicted model, not a curated record. Lineage: Eukaryota; Viridiplantae; Streptophyta; Magnoliopsida; Zingiberales; Musaceae.
CCUCCUCCUCUUCCUCCUCCAUCUUUCUCCGCAGCCGAACUCUCUUGUGGUGAUUCCUUAGAUUUCAUGAUGGCAUAGACGAUAGCAAGAUCGUGGACAUGCUUUCCACAGGCUUUCUUGAACUGUGAACUCUCCGUGGUCCUUUUUCGCUUCCUUGAUCCUUUCUUCCCGAGGAAGAACUCCAAGGAAGAAGAAGAGGAGGAGUAGGAGGAGGAGGAGGGGAUGGUGACCGCCGUUGAUAGUUCAAGAAAGCCCGUGGAAACCGUGACAGAUCUUUCCGAGUCUUGGAUGUAGGUUUUGUAUGAUUUCUUCCGCUCGCUGAAUUAGUGUGUUCUGUGUUGAUUGGGUGGGAAUCGUACUGGAACAACUGAUUACAUGUUUCACAUAUCCCAAUUGUGCGAUUGCCUGUUAUGAAUCGAUUGAAUUCUGAUUUAAGUAGUUGUUUUCCUCAUCUGGAAGAUGCUUUCUUUUGAGAUCUUGCCUUCUUUGAUAAGCAACUGGUCUUGUUUUUGUUGCAGAAUUGGAGAAUACGGAGCUAAAAGCCCCAGAAGCAUUGUAGGAUUCAGCAAGGCUGAGAUGAUGUGUGCACUAAAAGGUUGCCAGAAGUCAAACCAAGACUCAUGCUGCUCCACUCCAACUAUUGACAUGUUCCAUGAAACAAGAAAUUAAAUCCAGGCAAUGGCAGUGUCUUUGAUGGCUUUGAAGAAGAAUAGCCAGAACACAAGGCAGAUGGAUCAAUUUAUUGUGGACUCAAUGCUUAUGGUGCAAAAUGCUAGUUUUUAUUUUGAGACAAAGGACCAGCGACCAUUCCAGCUCAGAGAUGAAAAGGCAGGACAGUAAGGAGUGCCAUCUCAGUUGUGGGAGGACUUGGUGGGGAUACUGUGGCACCAAGAGACAAGAUACAGCAAGAUGGCACAAUUUCAUAGCUGAAAACCUCAACAUACAUAUACCAUUAUCUGUUCGUCUUUCGUGACAAUUACUUGGCUUCUAACUCGAACAAAGAUCCAUUGCUCACUAACAGCAGGUUUACAUUUUUGGCUCCAGGAGGAGGAAGAAGAGAGAUUAAUUAUUUUGGAUCAAUGACAUAUGAUAAAAUUAAUGGAUUGUGGAUUCGAUUCGAGAACCCCAUGUAUAGCGGAAUCUCGUGAACGGGGAUUGUAAUUAAAUCCAGGGGAUGGCAGCGUCUUUGAUGGCUUUGAAGAAGAAUAGACAGAACACAAGGCAGAUGGAUCAAUUUAUUGUGGACUCAAUGCUUAUGGUGCAAAGUGCAAGUUUUUUGUUUUUGUGAGACAGAGGACCAGCGACCAUUCCAGCUCAGAGAUGAAAAUGCAGGACAGUAAGGAGUGCCAUCUCAAUCGUGGGAGGACAUGGUGGGGAUACUGUGGCACCAAGAGACAAGAUACAGCAAGAUGGCACAUUUCCAUAGCUGAAAACCUCAACAUACAUGUACAUGCAUUAUCUGUUCGUCUUUCCUGACUCAUACUUAGCUUCUAACUCGAACAAAGAUCCAUUGCUCACUAACAGCAUGUUUACAUUUUUGGCUCCAGGAGGAGGACGAAGAGAGAUUAAUUAUUUUGGAUCAAUGACAUAUGAUCAAAUUAAUGGAUUCGAUUCGAGAAUCCCAUAUAUAUAGCGGAAUCUCGUGAACGGGGAUUGUAAUGGUGAUCCGAUGGUCCAAAGCCGGGAUGAAUCGGUAAAAAGAUCCACCCUACUUGCGCAGGGUCGAUGGGCGAAUCGCUCGAAUAACGGCAUCCGCGUCUUGAUUUCCUUUCUCUUCCCUCGUUUGGUCAUCCCACUUGAUAUCGGCCUCAACCUCACCUGAGAAGAUCAUGGCCGAGGAUAUAUGGAUUGGAGGAUCGGGCAUGGAAUAAGGUGCAAAGUUAGGGUUUGUACUCGUGUCUCACUGAUGAUGCAAAUAUAUCGGUAUGUAGGAGUCCUGGUAAUAAUUUUUCACCUAGUAUUCAAUUGUUCGCUUUCUGUUUAGCUGUCAAAUUAGAAAAGAAAGAAUGAUGCUGCUCGUUGCCAAAGAGAUGGAUCAUAUUUCUGACGAGACAUGGUGUGGAUCAUAUUUCAGAUAAUUCUGGCUGGUUUAUUGCCCUUCCUAAAUCUUAUCCAAGGAACGUAGUAGAUCUUAAUAUUUCACUUUCUUUUUGUUGGCGAAAUCAGUUUUCCGGCUUCAAUGAUGGUAUUUCUUAUGCUCUUUCCUCCUUCCAAGUCUUCUUUUCAUUCAAAUAUUACAUGGCAAGCAUGUUUGAUGUUUAUACAACAACACUCUGACUAAACUAAAAUAUCUCUUUUAAGAGAUUUUCCGAAUCUUAAUGCGUUGACAAGAAUAAUUCAGGAUGCACAUGUUGUGACCUCACUGAUAGCUGUGACCACCAUACCUGCAAGUGUUGAUACCCAGGGACACAUUA